RNAcentral lists this ribosomal RNA (254 nucleotides) under uncultured bacterium. RNAcentral describes it as "partial 16S ribosomal RNA". It matches the Rfam family "Bacterial small subunit ribosomal RNA", at positions 524 to 776 of the family's 1533-position model. The record is from RNAcentral.
UACGUAGGGCGCAAGCGUUGUCCGGAUUUACUGGGCGUAAAGGGCGCGUAGGCGGCCACCGCAAGUCGACUGUGAAAUCUCCGGGCUUAACCCGGAAAGGUCAGCCGAUACUGCGGGGCUAGAGUGCAGAAGGGGCAACUGGAAUUCUCGGUGUAGCGGUGAAAUGCGUAGAUAUCGAGAGGAACACCUGCGGCGAAGGCGGGUUGCUGGGCUGACACUGACGCUGAGGCGCGAAAGCUAGGGGAGCGAACGGG